This 552-nucleotide ribosomal RNA is filed under the name uncultured archaeon. RNAcentral describes it as "bacterial SSU rRNA". It matches the Rfam family "Archaeal small subunit ribosomal RNA", at positions 327 to 879 of the family's 1478-position model. The record is from RNAcentral.
GGGGUGCAGCAGGCGCGAAAACUUUACAAUGCGGGAAACCGUGAUAAGGGGACACCGAGUGCCAGCAUCAUAUGCUGGCUGUCCAGGUGUGUAAAAUACACCUGUCAGCAAGGGCCGGGCAAGACCGGUGCCAGCCGCCGCGGUAACACCGGCGGCCCGAGUGGUGAUCGUGAUUAUUGGGUCUAAAGGGUCCGUAGCCGGUUUGGUCAGUCCUCCGGGAAAUCUGACGGCUCAACCGUUAGGCUUUCGGGGGAUACUGCCAGGCUUGGAACCGGGAGAGGUAAGAGGUACUACAGGGGUAGGAGUGAAAUCUUGUAAUCCCUGUGAGACCACCUGUGGCGAAGGCGUCUUACCAGAACGGGUUCGACGGUGAGGGACGAAAGCUGGGGGCACGAACCGGAUUAGAUACCCGGGUAGUCCCAGCCGUAAACGAUGCUCGCUAGGUGUCAGGCAUGGCGCGACCGUGUCUGGUGCCGCAGGGAAGCCGUGAAGCGAGCCACCUGGGAAGUACGGCCGCAAGGCUGAAACUUAAAGGAAUUGGCGGGGGAGCAC